Molecule: ribosomal RNA, 976 nt
Filed under: Pseudostephanoeca paucicostata
Lineage: Eukaryota; Choanoflagellata; Acanthoecida; Stephanoecidae
Description: SSU rRNA
Rfam family: Eukaryotic small subunit ribosomal RNA
Source: RNAcentral
UAGGUAAAAAACCAACAUUUUUUGGUGAAUCAUAAUAACUUCGCGAAUCGCAUGGUCUUGUACCGGCGAUGAAUCAUUCAAAUUUCUGCCCUAUCAACUUUCGAUGGUAAGGUAGUGGCUUACCAUGGUUGCAACGGGUAACGGAGAAUUAGGGUUCGAUUCCGGAGAGGGAGCCUGAGAAACGGCUACCACAUCCAAGGAAGGCAGCAGGCGCGCAAAUUACCCAAUCCUGACACAGGGAGGUAGUGACAAUAAAUAACAAUACAAGGCCUUUCAGGUUUUGUAAUUGGAAUGAGUACAAUCUAAAUCUCUUAACGAGUAACAAUUGGAGGGCAAGUCUGGUGCCAGCAGCCGCGGUAAUUCCAGCUCCAAUAGCGUAUAUUAAAGUUGUUGCAGUUAAAAAGCUCGUAGUUGGAUUUCUGUUUCUGGGAUCUGGUCCGCCUCACGGUGAGCACUGGAUAACUGGGAACAUCCUCUCGAAGGCGGCGGGUGCACUUGAUUGUGUGUUUGUUGAAUUCGGGACCUUUACUUUGAAAAAAUUAGAGUGUUCAAAGCAGGCGUCGGCUUGAAUACAUUAGCAUGGAAUAAUGGAAUAGGACUUUGGUUCUAUUUUGUUGGUUUCUAGGACCGAAGUAAUGAUUAAUAGGGACAGUUGGGGGCAUUAGUAUUUAAUUGUCAGAGGUGAAAUUCUUGGAUUUAUGAAAGACUAACACCUGCGAAAGCAUUUGCCAAGGAUGUUUUCAUUAAUCAAGAACGAAAGUUAGGGGGAUCGAAGACGAUCAGAUACCGUCGUAGUCUUAACCAUAAACUAUGCCGACUCGGGAUCGGUGUGGUCACUUUAGCCGCAUCGGCACCGUAUGAGAAAUCAAAAGUUUUUGGGUUCUGGGGGGAGUAUGGUCGCAAGGCUGAAACUUAAAGAAAUUGAACGGAAGGGCACCACCAGGAGGUGGAGGCCUGGCUUAAUUUGACUCCACAC